RNAcentral lists this long non-coding RNA (273 nucleotides) under Mytilus galloprovincialis (Mediterranean mussel). Lineage: Eukaryota; Metazoa; Mollusca; Bivalvia; Mytilida; Mytilidae. The record is from RNAcentral.
GAAUCCAGGUCCGUCUGCCCUGAUUUCGGUUCGCCCUAGUUCCGUUUCGCCCUGAGACCGUUCGCCCUGAUACCUGAUUUUUAUUUUUUAUUAUAGUGUUGUGUUGUGUGUAUUUAAUUGAAUAUGUUGAAGUCAGUCUACAAUUUCGCCGAAUAUUUACGAUUUUUAUUUUUUAGUAUAGUGUUGUGUUGUGUGUAUUUAAUUAAAUAUGUUGAAGUCGGUCUACAAUUUCGCCGAAUAUUUACGAUGUAUUAUGUUGUCUACAGCUAGCUG